GCAUCUUUGGCAGCACAUAUCCUAAAAUUGGAAUGAUACAGAGAAGAUUAACAUGGCCCUUGCACAAGGAUGAUAUGCAAAUUAGUGAAGCAUUCUGUGUUUUU
This is a small nuclear RNA of Urocitellus parryii (Arctic ground squirrel), 104 nucleotides long. The record is from RefSeq and is a predicted model, not a curated record. NCBI's taxonomy places the organism in Eukaryota, Metazoa, Chordata, Mammalia, Rodentia, Sciuridae.